AACGCUAGCUACAGGCUUAACACAUGCAAGUCGAGGGGAAACGAUAUUGGAAGCUUGCUUCCGAUAGGCGUCGACCGGCGCACGGGUGAGUAACGCGUAUCCAACCUGCCCACCACUUGGGGAUAACCUUGCAAAAGUAAGACUAAUACCCAAUGACGUCUCUAGAAGACAUCUGAAAGGGAUUAAAGAUUUAUCGGUGAUGGAUGGGGAUGCGUCUGAUUAGCUUGUUGGCGGGGUAACGGCCCACCAAGGCGACGAUCAGUAGGGGUUCUGAGAGGAAGGUCCCCCACAUUGGAACUGAGACACGGUCCAAACUCCUACGGGAGGCAGCAGUGAGGAAUAUUGGUCAAUGGGCGAGAGCCUGAACCAGCCAAGUAGCGUGCAGGAAGACGGCCCUAUGGGUUGUAAACUGCUUUUAUAAGGGAAUAAAGUUAGUCUCGUGAGACUUUUUGCAUGUACCUUAUGAAUAAGGACCGGCUAAUUCCGUGCCAGCAGCCGCGGUAAUACGGAAGGUCCGGGCGUUAUCCGGAUUUAUUGGGUUUAAAGGGAGCGUAGGCCGGAGAUUAAGCGUGUUGUGAAAUGUAGACGCUCAACGUCUGCACUGCAGCGCGAACUGGUUUCCUUGAGUACGCACAAAGUGGGCGGAAUUCGUGGUGUAGCGGUGAAAUGCUUAGAUAUCACGAAGAACUCCGAUUG
Molecule: ribosomal RNA, 696 nt
Filed under: uncultured bacterium
Lineage: Bacteria
Description: bacterial SSU rRNA
Rfam family: Bacterial small subunit ribosomal RNA
Source: RNAcentral